CCCUUAGAUGUUCUGGGCCGCACGCGCGCUACACUGAUGCAUUCAACGAGUCUAAAACCUGGUCUGAUAGGGCUGGGUAAUCUUUUGAAAGUGCAUCGUGAUUGGGAUAGAUGAUUGCAAUUCUUCAUCUUCAACGAGGAAUGCCUAGUAAACGCAAGUCAUCAGCUUGCAUUGAUUACGUCCCUGCCCUUUGUACACACCGCCCGUCGCUCCUACCGAUUGGGUGUGCUGGUGAAAUGUUCGGAUCGGCCGUUUGUCGCGGUUUCCGCGUCAUGUGGCUGAGAAGUUCAUUAAACCCUCCCACCUAGAGGAAGGAGAAGUCGUAACA
RNAcentral lists this ribosomal RNA (328 nucleotides) under uncultured eukaryote. Its description in RNAcentral is "partial 18S ribosomal RNA". It matches the Rfam family "Eukaryotic small subunit ribosomal RNA", at positions 1470 to 1796 of the family's 1831-position model. The record is from RNAcentral.